GAUAAACGCUGGCGGCGUGCCUAAUGCAUGCAAGUCGAACGGGUCGCAGCUUCGGCUGUGGUCAGUGGCGGACGGGUGAGGAACACGUACGCAACCUGCCCUCUGGUGGGGAAUAACCCUUCGAAAGAGGGGCUAAUGCCGCAUCCGCUCACCUGGGUAAGGCUGGGUGAGGAAAGCCCGUGAGGGCGCUGGAGGAGGGGCGUGCGGCCGAUUAGCUAGUUGGUGGGGUAACGGCCUCCCAAGGCGGUGAUCGGUAGCUGGUCUGAGAGGAUGAUCAGCCACACUGGGACUGAGAGACGGCCCAGACUCCUACGGGAGGCAGCAGCAGGGGAUCUUGCGCAAUGGGCGAAAGCCUGACGCAGCAACGCCGCGUGGGUGAGGAAGGCCUUUGGGUGUAAAGCCCUUUUCUGCGGGACGAAAGAUGACGGUACCGCAGGAAGAAGCCACGGCUAACUACGUGCCAGCGCCGCGGC
This 473-nucleotide ribosomal RNA is filed under the name uncultured bacterium. RNAcentral's name for it is "partial 16S ribosomal RNA". It matches the Rfam family "Bacterial small subunit ribosomal RNA", at positions 28 to 521 of the family's 1533-position model. The record is from RNAcentral.